RNAcentral lists this ribosomal RNA (465 nucleotides) under uncultured bacterium. RNAcentral's name for it is "partial 16S ribosomal RNA". It matches the Rfam family "Bacterial small subunit ribosomal RNA", at positions 338 to 795 of the family's 1533-position model. The record is from RNAcentral.
CCUACAGGCGGCAGCAGUAGGGAAUUUUCGUCAAUGGGCGCAAGCCUGAACGAGCGAUGCCGCGUGAGUGAAGACGGCCUUCUGGUCGUAAAGCUCUGUUGCGGGGGAAAAAAAGCAGCAUCCGGAAAUGGUUGCUGACUGAUGGUGCCCCGCCAGAUAGUCACGGCUCACUACGUGCCAGCCGCCGCUGUAAUACGUAGGUGGCGAGCGUUAUCCGGAAUGAUUGGGCGUAAAGGGUGCGCAGGCGGUCCUGCAAGUCUGGAGUGAAACGGAUGAGCUCAACUCAUGCAUGGCGUUGGAAACUGGAGGACUGGAGAGCAGGAGAGGGCGGUGGAACGCCAGGUGUAGCGGUAAAAUGCGUAGAUAUAUGGAAGAACACCAGUGGCGAAGGCGGCCGACUGGCCUGUUGCUGACGCUGAGGCACGAAAGCGUGGGGAGCAAAUAGGAUUAGAUACCCUUGUAGUC